This 625-nucleotide long non-coding RNA is filed under the name Equus caballus (horse). Its description in RNAcentral is "lncRNA (ENSECAG00000053995.1)". The record is from RNAcentral. Lineage: Eukaryota; Metazoa; Chordata; Mammalia; Perissodactyla; Equidae.
CCGAGUGCUUCAACCUCCACCACAGCCCACAUGACCCUGCUGGGCAACACCCUGUUCCAGACGCCUGCUGGCCUGGGCCUUGGUUCCCAGCACAGAAUCUGGUUGCUGUAAGGAUGAAUUCCUCUGAAGGGAAGGAAGAAACGUGAGGAAGAGCCCCAGUCCACACAGGAUGCUGAGGAUGGUCCCAAUCACCCAGGAAGUGGAACUGGAGCUCAACCAGGGAGAAGGGCUGAAAAUGGAGUUAACAUUGACCAUGGCUGCAUAAGGAAGCUUGCACAAAAUCUCAAACGUACGGUGUUCAGGGCACUUACAGCUAAUCCUCAGAGUGUCAUGAAGACCCUUCAUCCUGCAUUGAACAAGCCCCUGGUCCUUGGGCAUCUCUAGGGUCUUGGAAAUUUUCCUGGGAUCUGGUGUGGGCUUGAGUCACAGCUUUGCUCUCCCAGAUGUUGUCAUUGUUAGGAAGGAGACGAGAGAAAAACAGCCUCAGAAAGGGGAGGGAGACUUGAUCUCAUCAAGAUGGUGGUGUUGGCAGACUCUGAUCUCAUCUCCUCCCACGAACACAACCAGGUUAUAACAAUUUUUGGAAAAAUUAUCCUGGAUGGAAAACUGAAAACUGGAUAAAAAG